UCGGAGAGCAUCGGCCUGCCUUUUUUCUUUUCACACAGACCGGGUCGUAUACGCUUGGAAUUGGCCGGAGCGGAGCCGCCAACUAUUUCACAUCGACCGGCUGGAAGAGAUCUGAAAGCGGGUGCGGUUGGAUGUGCUCGGAGCCGGUCGGAUGCGCUCGGAGUCGGGUGGAUACACUACAAAGGCAGUGCCAGUAUUCCGCGCAGUCUAAGUUUUGUUUUCGGUGUGUUAACGUGUGCUUUUCGAAACAUGGAUUUAGAUAGCUCCGACGAAGAAAUAUAUUUGUUAGCAAGAUUACUUGAAAUAGAACAUAGGAAACGUAAGCGCAAGCGGAAACAAAUAUGGGUAAAACAUAUUUGGAAAAACAGACUAAUCCAUGGGGAGUUUCACACCAUUUUCGAGGAAUUGAAGAGAGAUAGCCUAAAAUUUUAUGAGUAUUAUCGUAUGGAAUAUUGGCAAUUUUUGAAAUUGACAGAUUUGUUAAGAGUACAUAUAACAAAAAAGACUACAAAUUAUCGUUGCACCAUUACAGCCGAAGAAAGGUUAACGGUAACUUUAAGAUUCCUCAUCACUGGUUGCAGUUUCAAAAACUUGUCAUUUAAUUUUCGAAUGGGAAUUUCUACAGUUCAUUCAAUUAUUCAUGAGACAAUCAGAGUAAUUUGUGAUGUUUUGAUGCCCAUAGUUAUGCAGAUGCCAGAUGAAGAAAUGUGGGAAAAGUACAGUGUUACUAGCUGUGGUCGACGCGAAAUACAGUUUUUUAAUUGUUGAUGUCGGAUCAUAUGGUAAAAAUAGCGACGGCGGAAUUUUACAGAAUUCAAAAUUUUGGAAAAAACUCAACACCAAUAAGUUAAAGCUGCCCCCAAAUAAACCUCUACCUAGUACCACUGAAAGCUUACCACAUGUUUUUAUAGGAGACGAGGCAUUUCCUUUGAGCAAUAAUAUAUUGCGGCCGUAUCCAAGAGAACAAGCAAGAACAGAAUUAUCA
Pieris napi is the source of this 985-nucleotide long non-coding RNA. RefSeq lists it as uncharacterized. The record is from RefSeq and is a predicted model, not a curated record. The transcript is spliced from 3 exons. Lineage: Eukaryota; Metazoa; Arthropoda; Insecta; Lepidoptera; Pieridae.